GAUGAACGCUGACAGAAUGCUUAACACAUGCAAGUCUUUGGCGAAGCUGUGCUUGCACAGCCUAGCCAAGGCGGACGGGUGAGUAACGCGUAAGGAACUUGCCCUGCAGUCAGGGAUAACAGACGGAAACGACUGAUAAGACCUGGUAAAGUCAGGCGGACUCAUGUCCAGCCUGAUGAAAAGUGAUGCUGCAGGAGAGCCUUGCGUCCUAUUAGCUUGUUGGUGGGGUAACGGCCCACCAAGGCGAUGAUAGGUAGCCGGCCUGAGAGGGUGGACGGCCACAAGGGGACUGAGAUACGGCCCUUACUCCUACGGGAGGCAGCAGUGGGGAAUAUUGGACAAUGGGGGCAACCCUGAUCCAGCAAUUCUGUGUGCACGAUGAAAGUUUUCGGAGUGUAAAGUGCUUUCAGCAGGGAAGAAAAAAAUGACGGUACCUGCAGAAGAAGCGACGGCUAAAUACGUG
RNAcentral lists this ribosomal RNA (463 nucleotides) under uncultured bacterium. RNAcentral describes it as "partial 16S ribosomal RNA". It matches the Rfam family "Bacterial small subunit ribosomal RNA", at positions 28 to 507 of the family's 1533-position model. The record is from RNAcentral.